UAUCAGAUUAGGUUGUUGGUGAGGUAAAAGCUCACCAAGCCGACGAUCUGUAGCUGGUUUGAGAGAACGACCAGCCACACUGGGACUGAGACACGGCCCAGACUCCUACGGGAGGCAGCAGUGGGGAAUUUUGGACAAUGGGCGAAAGCCUGAUCCAGCAAUGCCGCGUGCAGGAAGAAGGCCUUCGGGUUGUAAACUGCUUUUGUACGGAACGAAAAGGCUCUUUCUAAUAAAGAGGGCCCAUGACGGUACCGUAAGAAUAAGCACCGGCUAACUUCGUGCCAGCAGCCGCGGUAAUAAGGGC
RNAcentral lists this ribosomal RNA (304 nucleotides) under uncultured Comamonadaceae bacterium. Its description in RNAcentral is "bacterial SSU rRNA". It matches the Rfam family "Bacterial small subunit ribosomal RNA", at positions 234 to 533 of the family's 1533-position model. The record is from RNAcentral. Lineage: Bacteria; Pseudomonadati; Pseudomonadota; Betaproteobacteria; Burkholderiales; Comamonadaceae.